CGAGAGCUCCCCAUAAAUCUAUGGAAGAAAAAGAUAUUGAUGUUAGACUCAAGUGGCUUGGAUUGUUCCAUCACAGAAGCAUCAGUCUAUAUGGUAAGCUUUCGAUGAGUUGUGGAGUUACCUGAUGGUGUGACCAAAGUGCACAGACUUGGUGCUAAGCGAGUGUGAUUGGGAAGUGUGGUGAAGAUGGAUGUUCUGAUGUGACAAAUAGACAAAACUAACAGUUCUGCGGGUGUUUUGUUGUGUGAUGUUCCUGAGACCUUAAUAUGUCUUGCUGCUGUUGAGUUAGCAAGUAUCUUACAGUGGGAUGGAUAAUUUGAGGAACCCUGUUGUGAUUUCUUUAGCUCAUAUUGACCGGAUUAGAUAGUGGAUAGAAGACCUUACACGAAUCUUCUCUAGCAGUUUAUCAUUGCAACUCCAGUGGAAACCUGAUUUCACCAAGUUAUAAGUUUAUAUUUCCGUCUUUCAUGUGAAAAUUGUGUUGUUCACUGAAUGAUUAUGCUAAAGAGGGGGUUUUGUUUUGUUUAUUGCAGGAUGAGAUAGUGGAAUAUCUGUUGUUGGGACUCAUGAUCUAUAUGACCAUCCACAUAUCAUUGAUGUAGCUUAACAUAGCUUUUAAUAAAGAUGGUCGGUCUGGAUUCAAUUCCUUAUUGGAGGAAUAUGUAGUCCCAAAAGAUGUAAAGAAGUUAUUCCUCUUGAUGCUUGGGUCCUGCUGAUAAAGUAAUUCACUCUGCAGAGCUUCUUAACGCCUACAAGACAGGAUAUCAACGGCCAGAACACACCAACACACAUCCAAAAUGUUCAGUUGAAGCUAGAAAUUGUAAAUUUUCUAAUCAGUUCGUAUCUAUGGUUCUUCAUAAUAUCUCUACAUUUAAGAAUGUAACAUUUUACUCAUUCUUUCAUUAUCAUUCCAUGUUUCGUUUUUG
This is a long non-coding RNA of Brassica oleracea var. oleracea, 926 nucleotides long. RefSeq lists it as uncharacterized. NCBI's taxonomy places the organism in Eukaryota, Viridiplantae, Streptophyta, Magnoliopsida, Brassicales, Brassicaceae. The record is from RefSeq and is a predicted model, not a curated record. The transcript has 3 exons.